This 371-nucleotide ribosomal RNA is filed under the name uncultured organism. Its description in RNAcentral is "bacterial SSU rRNA". It matches the Rfam family "Bacterial small subunit ribosomal RNA", at positions 526 to 896 of the family's 1533-position model. The record is from RNAcentral.
CAGAGGGUGCGAGCGUUAAUCGGAAUUACUGGGCGUAAAGCGCACGUAGGUGGCUUUGCAAGUCGAUUGUGAAAUCCCCGGGCUUAACCUGGGAACUGCAGUCGAGACUGCUUUGCUUGAGUAUGGGAGAGGGAGGUGGAAUUUCCGGUGUAGCGGUGAAAUGCGUAGAUAUCGGAAGGAACAUCAGUGGCGAAGGCGACCUCCUGGACCAAUACUGACACUCAAGUGCGAAAGCGUGGGGAGCAAACAGGAUUAGAUACCCUGGUAGUCCACGCCAUAAACGAUGAGAACUGGAUGUCGGAGGGGUCUGCCCUUCGGUGUCGUAGCUAACGCGUUAAGUUCUCCGCCUGGGGAGUACGGCCGCAAGGUUG